RNAcentral lists this ribosomal RNA (529 nucleotides) under uncultured beta proteobacterium. Its description in RNAcentral is "bacterial SSU rRNA". The stretch from base 57 to 529 matches the Rfam family "Bacterial small subunit ribosomal RNA", at positions 1 to 494 of the family's 1533-position model. Lineage: Bacteria; Pseudomonadati; Pseudomonadota; Betaproteobacteria. The record is from RNAcentral.
AAGAUCUCAGCAGCAUCACGGGUGGACUUUCCCUAGGUGCCGCAGCGCGCGAAUCACUGUGAUAGAGUUGAUCAUGCUCAGAUGACGCGGCGGUAUCUUACACAUGCAGUCGACGGGCUGGGGCUGCUCUAGUUAGUGCGAACGGUGAGUAAUAUAUCGAACAUGUCCGGAAGUGGGGAUAACGUAGCGAAAGUUCGCUAAUACCGCAUAUGCCCUGAGGGGAAAGGGGGGAUCGCAAGACCUCUCGCUUUCGGAGUGGCCGAUACCGGAUUAGCUAGUAGGUGAGGUAAAGGCUCACCUAGGCGACGAUCCGUAGCUGGUCUGAGAGGACGACCAGCCACACUGGAACUGAGACACGGUCCAGACUCCUACGGGAGGCAGCAGUGGGGAAUUUUGGACAAUGGGCGAAAGCCUGAUCCAGCCAUACCGCGUGAGUGAAGAAGGCCUUCGGGUUGUAAAGCUCUUCAGCCGGAAAGAAAUCGCGCUGGUUAAUAUCCAGCGGGAUGACGGUACCGGAAGAAGAAGCACC